GACGAACGCUGGCGGCGUGCCUAAUACAUGCAAGUCGAACGCAUUUUCUUUCACCGUAGCUUGCUACACCGAAAGAAAAUGAGUGGCGAACGGGUGAGUAACACGUCGGUAACCUGCCCAUCAGCGGCGGAUAACACUUGGAAACAGGUCCUAAUACCGCAUAAUUCCAUUUACCGCAUGGUAGAUGGGCGAAAGGCGCUUUUGCGUCACUGAUGGAUGGACCCGCGGUGCAUUAGCUAGUUGGUGGGGUAACGGCCUCCCAAGGCCGCGAUGCAUAGCCGACCUGAGAGGGGGAUCGGCCACACUGGGACUGAGACACGGCCCAGACUCCUACGGGAAGCAGCAGUAGGGAAUCUUCGGCAAUGGACGCAAGGCUGACCGAACAACGCCGCGUGAGUGAAGGAGGUUUUCCGAUCGUAAAACUCUGUUGGUAGAGAAGAACAAGGAGGAGAGUGGAAAGUUCAUCCCUUGACGGUAUCUAACCAGAAAGCCACGGCUAACUACGUG
Molecule: ribosomal RNA, 507 nt
Filed under: uncultured bacterium
Lineage: Bacteria
Description: partial 16S ribosomal RNA
Rfam family: Bacterial small subunit ribosomal RNA
Source: RNAcentral